Oryza nivara is the source of this 204-nucleotide non-coding RNA. NCBI's taxonomy places the organism in Eukaryota, Viridiplantae, Streptophyta, Magnoliopsida, Poales, Poaceae. The record is from Rfam.
UUUAAGUGCAACCAUAGGUUUUCACGUUUAACUUUGAUUGUUCGUCUUAUUUAAACAUUUUUUUAUAAUUAGUAUUUUGUUAUUAUAAGAUGAUAAAACAUGAAUAAUACUUUACUCGUGACUUAUGUUUUUAAAUUUUUUUGAAAAAAUUAUAAUAAGACGGAUGGUUAAAGUUGGGCGCGGUAAAUCAUGGCUAGACUUAGA